UUUCCGUAGGUGAACCUGCGGAAGGAUCAUUCAUAAUAAGUGUUUUAUGGCACUUUUUUAAAUCCAUAUCCACCUUGUGUGCAAUGUCAGGGUUGAUUUUUCUCUCGAGAGGAUCAACCCCAAACAUCAACUAUAUCUCAACUCUAUGUCUGAAAAAUAUUAUGAAUAAAACAAUUCAAAAUACAACUUUCAACAACGGAUCUCUUGGCUCUC
Molecule: unclassified non-coding RNA, 213 nt
Filed under: plant metagenome
Description: partial contains small subunit ribosomal RNA, internal transcribed spacer 1, and 5.8S ribosomal RNA
Source: RNAcentral